UUGACCUCGAAUCAGGUAGGAAUACCCGCUGAACUUAAGCAUAUCAAUAAGCGGAGGAAAAGAAACCAACAGGGAUUGCCCCAGUAACGGCGAGUGAAGCGGCAACAGCUCAAAUUUGAAAUCUGGCUCUCGGGCCCGAGUUGUAAUUUGUAGAGGAUGCUUUUGGUGAGGUGCCUUCCGAGUUCCCUGGAACGGGACGCCAUAGAGGGUGAGAGCCCCGUCUGGUUGGACACCGAUCCUCUGUAAAGCUCCUUCGACGAGUCGAGUAGUUUGGGAAUGCUGCUCUAAAUGGGAGGUAUAUGUCUUCUAAAGCUAAAUACCGGCCAGAGACCGAUAGCGCACAAGUAGAGUGAUCGAAAGAUGAAAAGAACUUUGAAAAGAGAGUUAAACAGUACGUGAAAUUGUUGAAAGGGAAGCGCUUGUGACCAGACUUGGGCUUGGUUGAUCAUCCGGGGUUCUCCCCGGUGCACUCUUCCGGCUCAGGCCAGCAUCAGUUCGCCCUGGGGGAUAAAGGCUUCGGGAAUGUGGCUCUCUCCGGGGAGUGUUAUAGCCCGCUGCGUAAUACCCUGUGGCGGACUGAGGUUCGCGCAUUCGCAAGGAUGCUGGCGUAAUGGUCAUCAGUGACCCGUCUUG
RNAcentral lists this ribosomal RNA (633 nucleotides) under Fusarium solani. Its description in RNAcentral is "eukaryotic LSU rRNA". It matches the Rfam family "Eukaryotic large subunit ribosomal RNA", at positions 1 to 656 of the family's 3401-position model. The record is from RNAcentral. Lineage: Eukaryota; Fungi; Ascomycota; Sordariomycetes; Hypocreales; Nectriaceae.